AUGAAGGGAUGGGGCGCCAAUCUGGGGCGUGAUCUCCGCGAACGCAAGAAGGCCCUGUUGACCGGCAUCCAGGCCCUGGACCUACGUGCGGACGCGACCGGCCUCUUCCCCGAGGAGUGGCUUUCCCGAUACGACUUGGGAGACCAACUCUCUGGCAUCUACACCGACGAGGAGGCCUAUUGGCGACUGCGUGGCUCCCAGAAAUGGGUAUUGAAUGGCGACGCGAACUACUUUCAGGCCAUUGCGAAUGGCUGCCGUAGACGCAACACCAUCCCCCUUCUCUGGGAUGGCGCGGCCCUUCUGCAAUCCCCGGGUGACAUUCGGGCCCAUGUCGACGGGUUCUACAGAUCCCUAUUCUCCUCCGCUCCUAGGAGCGGCCUAUCUCUGGCCCAUGAUUGUUGGACCGGCCACCAGCUAGUUUCUGCUGCGGAGAACGCGGCCCUUACGGCCCCCUUCUCCGAGGGCGAGGUCUGGGCUGCCAUUAGAGGCAUGAACCCUACCGCGGCCCCGGGCCCGGAUGGCCUCCCAGUAAAAUUCUUCCAGGCCUUCUGGAAUGUGAUUAAGCCUGAGAUCAUGGCCAUCUUCGACGAGUUCUACGUUGGGUCCAUCGACCUCGGGCGCCUCAACUAUGGGAUCAUUUCGCUCAUCCUCAAAGUGCCUGGGGCUUCCGACAUCCGCCAGUUCCGAUCGAUC
RNAcentral lists this ribosomal RNA (693 nucleotides) under Triticum aestivum (bread wheat). RNAcentral's name for it is "partial small subunit ribosomal RNA". The record is from RNAcentral. Lineage: Eukaryota; Viridiplantae; Streptophyta; Magnoliopsida; Poales; Poaceae.